GACGUAGGGAGCGAGCGUUGUCCGGAUUCAUUGGGCGUAAAGAGCGCGCAGGCGGUUUGGUAAGUCGGAUGUGAAAUCCCGGGGCUCAACCCCGGACCUGCAUCCGAUACUGCCCGACUAGAGGUAGGUAGGGGAGAUCGGAAUUCCUGGUGUAGCGGUGAAAUGCGCAGAUAUCAGGAGGAACACCGGUGGCGAAGGCGGAUCUCUGGGCCUUACCUGACGCUGAGACGCGAAAGCGUGGGGAGCGAACAGG
Molecule: ribosomal RNA, 253 nt
Filed under: uncultured bacterium
Lineage: Bacteria
Description: partial 16S ribosomal RNA
Rfam family: Bacterial small subunit ribosomal RNA
Source: RNAcentral